Molecule: long non-coding RNA, 413 nt
Filed under: Triticum aestivum (bread wheat)
Lineage: Eukaryota; Viridiplantae; Streptophyta; Magnoliopsida; Poales; Poaceae
Description: long non-coding RNA (TAES_LNC007778)
Source: RNAcentral
CUGGAAGUUCAUGUACUUUGCCUUGACUUGGUAAGUGAUCUUCAUCGCCGGCGACGGGUCGGACUGCAGCGUCGUGAUCGUCUCCACGCCGGCGGGAGGUAGCGGUGGCAGGACGCCGCCACGGGCGCGCCGCAGAGGAGCCGCAGCGGGAGGUAGCGAUGGCAGGGCUCCAGUGCCACGGGAGCGCGGCAGAGGAGCUCCGGCCGGAGGCAGCGGUGGGCGUGCUCCGGCGCCCUGGAUUUCUUGGCCUUUGAAUUCUGGAAGGACGAGGGCGAGGGCGCCAUGGGCGCGCCGCAGAGGAGCUGCAGCGGGAGGUAGCGGUGGCAGGGCUCCAGUGCCACGGGAGCGCGGCAGAGGAGCUCCGGCCGGAGGCAGCGGUGGGCGUGCUCCGGCGCCCUGGCUCUCUUGGUCUU